AGUGAACGCUGGCGGUAGGCCUAACACAUGCAAGUCGAGCGGCAGCACAGUAAGAGCUUGCUCUUACGGGUGGCGAGUGGCGGACGGGUGAGGAAUACAUCGGAGUCUACUUUUUCGUGGGGGAUAACGUAGGGAAACUUACGCUAAUACCGCAUACGACCUACGGGUGAAAGCAGGGGAUCUUCGGACCUUGCGCGAUUGAAUGAGCCGAUGUCGGAUUAGCUAGUUGGCGGGGUAAAGGCCCACCAAGGCGACGAUCCGUAGCUGGUCUGAGAGGAUGAUCAGCCACACUGGAACUGAGACACGGUCCAGACUCCUACGGGAGGCAGCAGUGGGGAAUAUUGGACAAUGGGCGCAAGCCUGAUCCAGCCAUACCGCGUGGGUGAAGAAGGCCUUCGGGUUGUAAAGCCCUUUUGUUGGGAAAGAAAAGCAGCAGGUUAAUACCCCGCUGUUCUGACGGUACCCAAAGAAUAAGCACCGGCUAACUUCGUG
Molecule: ribosomal RNA, 492 nt
Filed under: uncultured bacterium
Lineage: Bacteria
Description: partial 16S ribosomal RNA
Rfam family: Bacterial small subunit ribosomal RNA
Source: RNAcentral